RNAcentral lists this non-coding RNA (174 nucleotides) under Citrobacter freundii. RNAcentral's name for it is "Large Subunit Ribosomal RNA; lsuRNA; LSU rRNA". It matches the Rfam family "Bacterial large subunit ribosomal RNA", at positions 1 to 175 of the family's 2925-position model. The record is from RNAcentral. Lineage: Bacteria; Pseudomonadati; Pseudomonadota; Gammaproteobacteria; Enterobacterales; Enterobacteriaceae.
GGUUAAGCGACUAAGCGUACACGGUGGAUGCCCUGGCAGUCAGAGGCGAUGAAGGACGUGCUAAUCUGCGAUAAGCGUCGGUAAGGUGAUAUGAACCGUUAUAACCGGCGAUUUCCGAAUGGGGAAACCCAGUGUGAUCCGUCACACUAUCAUUACGUGAAUACAUAGCGUAAU